CCUACGGGCGGCAGCAGUGGGGAAUAUUGGACAAUGGGCGAAAGCCUGAUCCAGCCAUGCCGCGUGUGUGAAGAAGGCCUUCGGGUUGUAAAGCACUUUCAGUGGGGAAGAAAGCCUUGGGGCUAAUACCCUCGAGGAAGGACAUCACCCACAGAAGAAGCACCGGCUAACUCCGUGCCAGCAGCCGCGGUAAUACGGAGGGUGCGAGCGUUAAUCGGAAUUACUGGGCGUAAAGCGCGCGUAGGCGGUCUGAUAAGCCGGUUGUGAAAGCCCCGGGCUCAACCUGGGAACGGCAUCCGGAACUGUCAGGCUAGAGUGCAGGAGAGGAAGGUAGAAUUCCCGGUGUAGCGGUGAAGUGCGUAGAGAUCGGGAGGAAUACCAGUGGCGAAGGCGGCCUUCUGGACUGACACUGACGCUGAGGUGCGAAAGCGUGGGUAGCAAACAGGAUUAGAUACCCCAGUAGUC
RNAcentral lists this ribosomal RNA (465 nucleotides) under Vreelandella stevensii. RNAcentral's name for it is "partial 16S ribosomal RNA". It matches the Rfam family "Bacterial small subunit ribosomal RNA", at positions 338 to 795 of the family's 1533-position model. The record is from RNAcentral. Lineage: Bacteria; Pseudomonadati; Pseudomonadota; Gammaproteobacteria; Oceanospirillales; Halomonadaceae.